UUAAGUCCCAUAACGAGCGCAACCCACGUCGUUAGUUGCCAACAGGUCAAGCUGGGAACUCUAACGAGACUGCCGGUGUAAACCGCGAGGAAGGUGUGGAUGACGUCAAAUCAGCACGGCCCUUACAUCCAGGGCUACACACGUGUUACAAUGGUCGGUACAGAGGGCAGCUACCAGGCAACUGGAUGCGAAUCUCAAAAACCGGUCUCAGUUCGGAUUGGAGUCUGCAACCCGACUCCAUGAAGCUGGAUUCGCUAGUAAUCGCGCAUCAGCCAUGGCGCGGUGAAUACGUUCCCGGGCCUU
Molecule: ribosomal RNA, 303 nt
Filed under: uncultured Alkaliflexus sp.
Lineage: Bacteria; Pseudomonadati; Bacteroidota; Bacteroidia; Marinilabiliales; Marinilabiliaceae
Description: bacterial SSU rRNA
Rfam family: Bacterial small subunit ribosomal RNA
Source: RNAcentral